This 1076-nucleotide long non-coding RNA is filed under the name Heterocephalus glaber (naked mole-rat). RNAcentral describes it as "lncRNA (ENSHGLG00000047058.1)". The record is from RNAcentral. Lineage: Eukaryota; Metazoa; Chordata; Mammalia; Rodentia; Bathyergidae.
CAGACAUUUUUAGUUUUUAUUUUGAGAUGGGCUUACUAAGUUGCCAGGCUGACCUAGAAUUCAUAGUUUGCCUCCCUCAGUCUCCCAUAGUGCCGGGAUUACAGGUAUAAGCCACCACUUUUUUUCUCUCUCAUUUAAUUACAAAAGGAACAAGAAUUUCAAAGCACAGGUAAACCCACAACAUCUCCUCCCCAUCUCCCCGUGUCAAGGGAAUCCGAGUCUCCCAAGUCCCAGCCAUGUCCUGGUGUCUGUCUCGGGACCCUGUACCUGGUCCACCACUGGCAGCCCCCACCCCAGGAGCUGGGCAAUUAGGUGGAGAGCCUGGUGGGUGGAGAGCUCAGGUUCCUGUCCAGCAGUACACCCGCCUACAGGAUGGGUUGCCCAUGGGGCAGUUCCACAGGGGAGUGGCCAUGUCAGAGGGUACGUGAGUGGGAUGCGAUGCCGCACACCUGCAAUCCCAGCACUCUGGGAGGCUGAGAUGACAGGCAUGUGCCGCCAUACGCAACUGGAAUUUUUAUGUUUAAUUCUUGUUUUUCCUAGGGAUUUGCUCUCUCAACAUGUGUCCUUAGAGCAGCUUUGUCCUUGGCCCCCCCGGACCCCUUGUAGGGGCUCCUGGCAGUGAGCCGGUAGAAGGACAGGCUGGGUCUGUGGUUUGUGCCCCAGCUCCCCGGCCCCUCCUGGCAUCCCCCCCCUUCCAUGCUGACAGUGCCCGCAGUGCCAGAUAAAGGAGCUGUCUUCUUGGAGCUGUCAGGCUGAAUCCAGAAUCUCCUCCAUCAGCUCCCCUGGGGGCUCAGGCUCUGAGCACAUCAGAGGGCUGGGGGUGGGGGACACUGGAGCCACUCGGCCACCCACUCCUGCCCGCAGGACUCAGAAGGAGAGGAUCCACCUGCCUUGUGCCUGGCACAGCUCCAGCCUGUCCCCACCACCGACUCAGCAGCUGUUACGGCCCCCAACAGGAACCCCUCUGGCCGGGGCUGGCCCGUUUGGCUCAGGCCGCAGCCUUCAGCGCCCUGCCCCACUGCACCACCUGUCCGGUCAGAUGGGCCCUCGAAGGUUGCACUAUGCACCCCCCCAGC